CAGUCAAAUUUCAUCCUAAUCAAUUUUUAUUUUUUUGCUUUUUCAUCUUUAGCUUCGAUUUCACUUCAUAAUCAACACCUAAGUGUUAUCUGAUGGAUUCUUCAUCUUAUUCCGAGUCGACGUCGACGAAUGGUGGAGUUACCAUGAUAAUUCAUUUGCAACUUCUAAGGCUCUGCAUAUAGCUAAUAAGAUCAACUCUUCAUCAACAUUCCAUGUAUUGGAAGCCUUUUUCCACCAUCAGGUGCUAUUUUAUGGGAAGGUGACAUUUAACAAGUCUAAAGCAGCUGUGAGGGAGC
Molecule: non-coding RNA, 296 nt
Organism: Salvia hispanica
Lineage: Eukaryota; Viridiplantae; Streptophyta; Magnoliopsida; Lamiales; Lamiaceae
Source: RefSeq, a predicted model, not a curated record